Long non-coding RNA from Salvelinus namaycush (lake trout), 358 nucleotides. RefSeq lists it as uncharacterized. The record is from RefSeq and is a predicted model, not a curated record. The transcript has 3 exons. Lineage: Eukaryota; Metazoa; Chordata; Actinopteri; Salmoniformes; Salmonidae.
AACACAAUGGCGGCGAAACUGAAUCACCUGCAACUUUUUUGUGGUCGAUUUGUAAACCAAGCCGACUACUUUCUGGGGUCUUUGGCUUUCGCAAAAAUGCUGAGUUGCACAAUGGCAGUGUACCGCCACCACGCGCCUCCAUACUCAAAUGUACAUGUCCCCUACAGUGAGUUCUUCCAGCUGGAGGCCCUGACACACUACCACCGCGUGGUAAGCCUAGAGAACUUCACGAAGCAGCUUGCCCCAACACUCUGGCCUAAGGGCAGCCCACUGAGUCAGCUGCCCAGAGGAGUGUAGACAAGAAGUCCUGCCCCAUGAAGGUGAGUGUUGUGAUUGAUGUGUAGAGUCAGAGAUGAUU